UAUAUAUAUAUAUAUAUAUAUAUAUAUAUAUAUAUAUUCUGGCAUCACUGUAUCUCAGAUCCUUGCCACAGUUACAGCAUUUGCCCACGAGAUGGCACUGUUUACUAUAUGAAACCAUAGUACAGCAUAAGCAUUGUAAAGCCUACAGAGGUAUGGCAUAUUAAAUAUAUAUAUAUAUAUAUAUAUAUAUAUAUAUAUAUAUAUAUAUAUAUAUAUAUAUAAAAACCAUGAUAAACUAGGGUAAAUGCAUAGCCUAACCAGGAAAAGCACUGGAAAACUGCAAAUUUACUGUAGUAAACCUAUGCAAGGGACACCACCUUUAACUUUCUCUGGUGAGCUGGGGUCAGGCUUGGAGUUGGGAAUUGGAGCACAUAUUUACUCGCUUCUUAAUUUAGGAGUGUCACCAAAAAAAUAAAAUAAUUCCCCAUCAGCAUCAGUACAUUGCUGGCUUAAGCUGCAGCCUUCACCUCAAAUGACCGUCUUUUCUUUCUGUAGGACAGUCUUAAUGUGAAUUAAAUCAUUAUAUGACACGUGUAUCAGUUCUGUACAAAUGUUGCAGACAGGGUGACGCCUGAGUCCCGAGGAAGAUUAGGAGCAGACCGGUCAGCAAUAUAACGAUCACUGUAAUUCUUUGGGAGUUAGGCAUUAGCAGGGCUUUGAAGAGUCUGAUUAAUCUGCAGGGAGGUAACAGUUCAGGUGCCUCACAGAAAUAAGCAAAACUCACCUGACUGCAGCAAUGGAAGGAGUGGAGUUAGCAAUGCUGUCUAUAUGUGUUCUCAACACCACAAUGACCCUGAUGUACUGGAAAUUCAUAGUGGGGAUCAUUCUAAAAAAGCCAGAGCCGUCAACAGUCAAUCCUGCCUAAUCUAUUCAAAAGAAAUGACCGUGAUGUCAGGAACAAGUUGAAUUGCUUUCCAGUUCUCUCUUAGCUUGUUAGUUUAGCCGGCACUAUUUACAGCGGUUGUUUUUUUGUUGUUUGUUUUUCUGGGGGGGCAGGUUUGAGGUGGGGUGGGGGCUAACCUUAUGAAACCUCAAAAUUGAACAUUAUAUCCUCUGAUCAAUCUGGAAAAUCCUUGUGAGAAAAGGAAACAGCAUGGAUGGGAAACUGGUUGCUGUUGGCUUCAAGUACAGCAAAAUUCUUCCGAAGGCAAAGUGAUGCUUCCACAAUUUGAAGACACGCUGUUUGGACCGGAUCCAGAUCACACAAAGACACCGAUCAGAAGAAACAGUGACAGGUUCGGGGAGGAGUGGACGCUGAAAAGCAAUGACGGGGAUGGCGCCGAUGAUGAUGCGCGUUUGUACUUUGAGAGGAAUAAGGAAAUCCCGAUUAUCCGGGUGAUAUAUGAAGAUAUGGAGCCACGGCAUUCGCGAUCCGGUCCGCGGGUGAUGUUUGGGAAGCCUGUGGAUAAUUCAUCUGUGUUCUAGCUAAAAUAUUAUUAAUGCUUCAAGUUGUCAGGCACAUUUAAUAAUUACACAUAAUCCAAUAUAUGUAUAUAUAUAUUCAGGGCAAUCAGAAAGUAAGUUUACACAUCAACACACCAUAUCAUUGAUGUGGUAAACUUACUUUCUAAUCACCCUGUAUAUAUAUAUAUAUAU
Molecule: RNA transcript, 1596 nt
Organism: Acipenser ruthenus (sterlet)
Lineage: Eukaryota; Metazoa; Chordata; Actinopteri; Acipenseriformes; Acipenseridae
Gene name: small integral membrane protein 44-like
Exons: 2
Source: RefSeq, a predicted model, not a curated record